UCUUAAAAAGUUCAUCCAUUUAUACUGUUAAAAAUUGCCAUGGCUAUUGACUAACAAAAUAACCAGACAAUGAUACGUGGCAUGUCACGCGUACCUCCUACUGACGAACAGAGAGCAAUUUUUAACAGUAAAAAAGGAUAAAAUUUUUAAUA
This is a non-coding RNA of Gossypium raimondii (Peruvian cotton), 152 nucleotides long. The record is from Rfam. Lineage: Eukaryota; Viridiplantae; Streptophyta; Magnoliopsida; Malvales; Malvaceae.